This 498-nucleotide ribosomal RNA is filed under the name uncultured bacterium. RNAcentral's name for it is "partial 16S ribosomal RNA". It matches the Rfam family "Bacterial small subunit ribosomal RNA", at positions 30 to 523 of the family's 1533-position model. The record is from RNAcentral.
AUUGAACGCUGGCGGCAUGCCUUACACAUGCAAGUCGAACGGUAACAGGUCUUCGGAUGCUGACGAGUGGCGAACGGGUGAGUAAUACAUCGGAACGUGCCUAGUAGUGGGGGAUAACUACUCGAAAGAGUGGCUAAUACCGCAUGAGAUCUACGGAUGACAGCAGGGGAUCGCACGACCUUGUGCUACUAGAGCGGCCGAUGGCAGAUUAGGGAGUGGGUGGGAUAAAAGCUUACCAAGCCGACGAUCUGUAGCUGGUCUGAGAGGACGAUCAGCCACACUGGGACUGAGACACGGCCCAGACUCCUACGGGAGGCAGCAGUGGGGAAUUUUGGACAAUGGGCGCAAGCCUGAUCCAGCAAUGCCGCGUGCAGGAUGAAGGCCUUCGGGUUGUAAACUGCUUUUGUACGGAACGAAAAGCCCCGGGUUAAUACCCUGGGGUCAUGACGGUACCGUAAGAAUAAGCACCGGCUAACUACGUGCCAGCCGCCGCAGUAA